RNAcentral lists this non-coding RNA (29 nucleotides) under Rattus norvegicus (Norway rat). Lineage: Eukaryota; Metazoa; Chordata; Mammalia; Rodentia; Muridae. The record is from RNAcentral.
UACAUACACGUUUUUCUGGGCAUGAUGGU